AUUUUUGAACAAAUUAUCUUAAGCAACACAUUGAGCAAAGAAGAAGGGAUCCAAUUAAUGAGAUAAUUAAAAAAAAUUAUGUGAUUAUUUUAUAUAUCAGUUUUUUUUUUUUCACUACUUCAGGCAUGGAUUCAGGUGCAUUUCUCUUGCUUCCAAGUGGCAGAAUACAAAUUGCGUGUCAGCUUGCAAGUUAUUCAAUAGCCAUGUGAGCCCAAACUAUAUGCGCAGAUCCCCAUGGAAUAAGAAAGUGUAAAAUAUAUGGAAAAAAAAAAGAGGCGGUUUGAAAAUAAAAUAAAAGAAGCUGGAAACAAGGGAACACACAUACGUGUGAGAGAAUGAGAGAAGCUGUAAACCGCCCGGAAACCCGACCCGUUUGACCCGAAAUCGACCUGGCCAUAUCUCUAAUUUCCGGCCACCUCACCGGCUGAGCAAGGUACCAAUAUGAAGCUUGAAUACAGGCCAUCAUAUUCCAGUCGUCAGCGUCGCCGAAAACCGACCGGAACGCCGCCGUUUGUAGCACGAUAAGCUGCGGUAAAACCCACCCCUUCUCGCCGUCGAUUCCGCCAAUUUUGGGUGACGCCACCACUUGGAUCUUGAUCCUCAGCUCAUCCUUAUCAUUUUCCGACCAGCCCCGCCACCUGAAACCGCCGUUUGGGCCGCGAACGACCGCCGGAAAGCUUGCGGCUUGGGAAGCUCGAUCCGCCGUUGUUGCCGCGCGUGGGAGGUCACCGCCGGCGUUAUUAGACUCAGUGUAAUUGAAACUAUCAGACCUGAGCUUCCCGGCCACCGUUGAUUGGCGAGGGCAAUUCGGUAAUCUCACAUUUUGAGGGCGAUUUUAUAAUUUCUGACCCUGUGGAUAUUUUACUUGUGAAAUUGAGGAUUGGCUGUAAUUAUGAUUUCGAGGGUAAUUCAGUGGUUUGUGGUUUCAGAGUGUUUUAAUUAUUUGCAGACUCGAGGGUAUUUUAAUAAUUUUAUCGACAUUGAAGUUGUAAAAUUAUGGAUUUAAUAAUUUUAUCGACACUGAAGUUGUAAAAUUAUGAAUAAAUGUUCGUUUUGAGUUUAUUGCAUAAGUUUGAUCCUAAUUUUGAUUUACGAAAAAUGAUUAUAUCAUUUCUUUGAUUUAAGAGGAUUUGCGAGAUGUGGAAGAUAAUCGAGUCUAAAUAUUGUCACUAUGAGUGGAAUAUAAAAAAUCUAUUUUCAUAGUUAAUUAUGAUAAUAAAGAAUGUUUACGAAAUAAGUAUUUUAA
RNAcentral lists this long non-coding RNA (1246 nucleotides) under Citrus maxima (pomelo). Its description in RNAcentral is "long non-coding RNA (CMAX_LNC000703)". The record is from RNAcentral. Lineage: Eukaryota; Viridiplantae; Streptophyta; Magnoliopsida; Sapindales; Rutaceae.